Molecule: long non-coding RNA, 777 nt
Organism: Phasianus colchicus (ring-necked pheasant)
Lineage: Eukaryota; Metazoa; Chordata; Aves; Galliformes; Phasianidae
Source: Ensembl
UUGUUGGGGUCACAUUGGGGUCCAUAUGGGGUCAGUGGGGUCUCUAUGGGGUUUUGAGGUCACAUUGGGGUCUCUAUGGGGUGGGUGGGGUCUCUAUGGGGUUGUUGGGGUCACAUUGGGGUCCAUAUGGGGUCAGUGGGGUCUCUAUGGGGCAUUGGGGUCUGUAUGGGAUGGGGGCACAGCGUGGGGCAGCGCCCCGUUGUGCCCCCAGUCUUGGAUGGCGAUGGUGACCCCGAUGCUGAAGGUGACGCCGACGAUGACGCCGAUGGUGACGACGGUGACGAUGACGAUGACGACGAUGACGACGAAGGCCCCGCGCUGCCCUCGGGCUCAGCGCCGCCGUGUCCCCAAAGCGCCGUCACCGUCCUCCUCUGCGUCCAGCGGGGGCGCAUCACCGCGCACUGCGCGGCUGUGGUGUGUCACCUGUGUGUCACCUGUGUGUCACCUCUGUGUCACCUCUGUGUCACCUCUGUGUCACCUCUGUGUCAUCAUCUGUGUGCCAUCACCUCUGUGUGUCACCUCUGUGUGUCACCUCUGUGUCACCUCUGUGUGUGUCAUUAUCUGUGUGUCACCUCUGUCACCUCUGUGUGUCACUUGUGUGUCACCUGUGUGUCACCUGUGUGUAUCACCUCUGUGUCACCACCUCUGUGUCACCUCUGUGUCACCUGUGUGUGUCACGUCUGUGUGUCAUCACCUGUGUGUCACUUCUGUGUCACCUCUGUGUCACGUGUGUCACCUGUAUGUCAUCACCUGUGUGUCACCUGUGUGUGCCAUCAU